This is a long non-coding RNA of Tympanuchus pallidicinctus (lesser prairie-chicken), 681 nucleotides long. RefSeq lists it as uncharacterized. The record is from RefSeq and is a predicted model, not a curated record. The transcript is spliced from 3 exons. NCBI's taxonomy places the organism in Eukaryota, Metazoa, Chordata, Aves, Galliformes, Phasianidae.
AGUACUUGCCCUUUGAUCGCCGAGGAUCGCUGCUUCAGAGCUGCUCCAGCCUGAAGCGCAGCUACUGACCUCGAGGUAGAAGGGGUUUCGGUCGGUUCCCUCGCUCAGGGAUCCCCGAGAGAAAACCGAGCAGAACAGAGCAGAACAGAGCAGCCAGGCAGCUCUCGGCCAGGCAGCUCUGGCGAGAGCGGCCGACGCGGCGGGGGUGUCGCCAGGGCAACGGCUCUGCACCCACCCCGUCUUGCCUAGAAAUAGCCUCAGGGAGCGACCGGUCGCUGCCCAGUGAAGAAGGUGUGAGGAGCACCGGGGCUGAUUUAUCAAGGAGAAACAGUAAGCCACUCCUACACGGGACUCCCCCUUAAGAACGGCUGUUAUCGCCCUUGGGUGCAGACCAUUACCUCCCAUGGGCCUCAUAUUAACAAAAAACGCAUGAGCCACUGGAAACUCUUCUUUUUCCAAGAAGUUUAGACUGCUAAAUACUUUGGCAGCAGAUCAAAGUUGACACCUGCCUAAAGAAGCAAGAACUGUGUAACUCCUUGUAUGAAAAGAGUUUAAAGGAAGUCAGCAUCAAACACUACAGAUUUUCAUACCCUGGGAUACUCUGCAGCUUCAAUGAAAAUUCUUCUGCUGGAAGGGAAGAACUCUAUCUACACCAUAUUCAACAAAUGGAUGGAGGAAUGU